AAAAAGUUUGGUUUAAAAGACCGACACCUUUUGUGCACCUUUAUCUGUCUUUGGUAACUCGUGUGUUCUGUUGGCUAACUGCCUUCGGAAUCUACCUGGAUUCGCUCCGGGUUGGGUUGCCAAACUUGUUAAAAACGUUUUUUCUUUUAUUUUGUAUGUGUUAAUCACUUUGAUUAAUUAAACUUAA
RNAcentral lists this unclassified non-coding RNA (187 nucleotides) under uncultured fungus. RNAcentral describes it as "sequence contains ITS1". The record is from RNAcentral. Lineage: Eukaryota; Fungi.